CUCGAACAGCGGCGUUGCACUCUCCAAACACGCUGAAAACGGACACGCGCCUUUGACGAGACAAAGACAGAGAGAGGUCACACAUUCCAAAUAAACGUCUGCAUCCUACGAAUUCAUUGUGAAAGAAAUGCUGACAGGAAAAUCCAAGGAGCGAAAAAUCUGUUUGCUGUACUGUAGGAAACCGGUGCUGAAACGCGACUACCUGUCGGCACCGUGAAGUAGCAACACCCAGCAGCGUUUCAAUCUACUGGGGAAACACAACACAUUUAUAUGGCAAAGUUCCUCGCCGAACUAAUGGGAUGUACUUUGCCUGAGAAAGGCGCAUCUACAAUGUUCGAGUGCAGGAGUCAGCCGCAUAUUGGACUGAGGCAUGUCACCAAACAACGGCCCACCAUAUUUGGGACACUGAUUGAAAAACCGCUGGGGGAUCACAACUCAGCCCCUGUUCUGCACAAGAGGGGACGAGAACAGGAUUUUGUAUAACUGAUAUGGAUUAGCCAAGCUUUUUAAAGAGAUCCAGCCCAUCUUGUGCUACAUUGACUUAACAAGACAGCUGCAGUGUCACCAAAAUGUAUUUGGACACUUAAGACACAUUUAAAAUGUA
Myxocyprinus asiaticus (Chinese sucker) is the source of this 604-nucleotide long non-coding RNA. RefSeq lists it as uncharacterized. The transcript has 4 exons. The record is from RefSeq and is a predicted model, not a curated record. NCBI's taxonomy places the organism in Eukaryota, Metazoa, Chordata, Actinopteri, Cypriniformes, Catostomidae.